RNAcentral lists this ribosomal RNA (439 nucleotides) under uncultured bacterium. RNAcentral's name for it is "bacterial SSU rRNA". It matches the Rfam family "Bacterial small subunit ribosomal RNA", at positions 975 to 1414 of the family's 1533-position model. The record is from RNAcentral.
CAGCCCUUGACAUCCUCGGAACUUACUAGAGAUAGUUUGGUGCCUUCGGGAACCGAGUGACAGGUGCUGCAUGGCUGUCGUCAGCUCGUGUCGUGAGAUGUUGGGUUAAGUCCCGUAACGAGCGCAACCCUUAUCUUUAGUAGCCAGCAAGUUAAGUUGGGGACUCUAGAGAGACUGCCGGGGAUAACUCGGAGGAAGGUGGGGAUGACGUCAAAUCAUCAUGCCCCUUAUGUCUUGGGCUUCACGCAUGCUACAAUGGCCGGUACAGAGGGCUGCAAUACCGCAAGGUGGAGCGAAUCCCAAAAAGCCGGUCUCAGUUCGGAUUGAGGUCUGCAACUCGACCUCAUGAAGUCGGAGUCGCUAGUAAUCGCGAAUCAGCAACGUCGCGGUGAAUACGUUCCCGGGUCUGUACACACCGAAUCUAGAGCAUCGGAGCAAC